This 886-nucleotide long non-coding RNA is filed under the name Physcomitrium patens. RNAcentral's name for it is "long non-coding RNA (PPAT_LNC009593)". The record is from RNAcentral. Lineage: Eukaryota; Viridiplantae; Streptophyta; Bryopsida; Funariales; Funariaceae.
UUUUAUUAAGAAUUUGGUUAAGAUUUAGGAUUUGAUUAGGGUUUGAUUUAGAGUUUAGUCAAGAUUAGGAUUUACUUAGUAAUUGCUUAGGAUUUAGGAUUGGAAUAGAAUUGGCUUAGGAUUUGAUUUAAGAUUUAAUUAGAAUUAGGAUUUGAUUAAAAUUGGUUUAGAAUUUGAUUUAAGAUUUGGUUAGAAUUAGGAUUUGAUUAUGAUUUAAGAUUUAAUUAAGAUUGAUUUAGGAUUUGAUUAAAGUUUUAUUACGAUUUGAUAUAGGAUUUGCUUAAGAUUGAUUAAGAUUUUAUUAGAAUUUGAUCUAGAAUUUGAUUAAGGUUCAUAAAAAUUUAAGAUUUCAUUAGGAUUGGUUUAAGAUUUAAGUUUUAAGAUUUAAGAUUUGGUUAGGAUUUAUUUAGAGCUUAUUUAGGAUUUCAUUAUGAUUUAAGUUUUGAUUAAAAUUGAUUUAGGAUUUGAUUAAGGUUUUAUUAGGAUUUGAUAUAUGAUUUGAUUAAGAUUGAUUAAGAUUUCAUUAGGAUUUGAUCUAAGAUUUUAUUAAGGUUCAUGAAAAUCCUAAUUUAUGAUUAAUUUAAGAUUUAGGAUGUAAGAUUUGAUUAAGAUUUAUUUAGGGCCUAUUUAGAAUUUCAUUAGGAUUUAAGAUUUGGUUAGGAUUUGAUUAGAAUUUGGUUAACAUUUUAUUAAUAUUUGAUCUAGGUUUUGAUUAGGAUUCAUUAGAAUUUUAUUAAGAUUUGAUCUAGGAUUUGAUUAGGAUUCAUUAAGGUUUUAUUAGGAUUGGUUUAAAAUUUAGGAUUUAAUUAGUAAUUAAUUAAGAUUUUAUUAAGAUUUAUUUAAGAUUUAUUUAAAAUUUCUAUUUUUGAUAUUUUUUUAGGAUCCU